UCUGAAGCAUUAUAACUUCUGAACCAGCACUUCAGCCUCUGAAGCAACAUAUCCUCUGAACCUCACAACCUCUGAAGCUGAUAUAAGUUCUGAAGCUCUGAAGCUCUGUUUUGGUUCUGAUACGCGUUUCUGUUUUACUUAGCUUUCUAGAGUUAGUUAGUUAGUUUUGUACAGUUGUAAUUCAGUUACGUUUUGUUUGUCCUAGGUAGUUAUGCAGUUACUUGCAUUUUGAAGUAACCACCUAUUGUAUAUAAACAAUUAAGGCCCUUUGUGGAAGAAUAAGAUUUUUUACUUUUCCUUUAUUCAAUUUCUGCUUAUUCUAAAUUCAUUCUUCAUUCAUCUUUCAUCCUUCAGUGCUCUUUGUUUUGGGUUAAUCCCC
RNAcentral lists this long non-coding RNA (379 nucleotides) under Trifolium pratense (red clover). RNAcentral describes it as "long non-coding RNA (TPRA_LNC009739)". Lineage: Eukaryota; Viridiplantae; Streptophyta; Magnoliopsida; Fabales; Fabaceae. The record is from RNAcentral.